This 253-nucleotide ribosomal RNA is filed under the name uncultured bacterium. RNAcentral's name for it is "partial 16S ribosomal RNA". It matches the Rfam family "Bacterial small subunit ribosomal RNA", at positions 524 to 776 of the family's 1533-position model. The record is from RNAcentral.
GACAGAGGUCUCAAGCGUUAGGCGGAAUCACUGGGCUUAAAGCGUGUGUAGGCGGAUCGUUAAGUGCUUUGUGAAAUCCCACAGCUCAACUGUGGAACUGCUUGGCAUACUGGCGGUCUUGAGCCAUCUAGGGGUCGCUGGAACAAACGGUGGAGCGGUGAAAUGCGUAGAUAUCGUUUGGAACGCCAAUGGUGAAAACAGGCGACUGGGGAUGUGCUGACGCUGAGACACGAAGGCCAGGGGAGCAAACGGG